RNAcentral lists this long non-coding RNA (805 nucleotides) under Gallus gallus (chicken). RNAcentral describes it as "long non-coding RNA NONGGAT008042". Lineage: Eukaryota; Metazoa; Chordata; Aves; Galliformes; Phasianidae. The record is from RNAcentral.
GUUCCUGACUUCUGCCAGCAGCACUCGCCGUUUAUCUUCCUCGCACCCAGAAACACACGACUUACAACAGAAAUCUCUCUGGAGUUGCAUUAGAGAUGGUGUGACAAACAAGAGGGACAGCACAAGGGCUGUAAAGGAGAAGCAUCCCGACCUUUGAUCCACCUCUGGUGUUUAAGAGCAAAACAUGAAGGGAAGGCAGGAGAUGUACAAUGUGUCCUUCUCCCAGCACAACCUCACCUGAUCCUUUAAAAUCAGAAAUGGAGAACUAGGAGUUUAUUUAUAUCUCUGAGGAUAUGGCAGUAGUCCUGAGAAGAAAGUCAACAAGUGGGUGAGCCUGAGCUACCCUCUGCAGCAAGUGAGUAUCAAGACAAGGACCAAAAGAAAUUUAUCUUCUGUCAGCCAACUGAAACGAUGUUAGUUUCUGGGUUGAUCAAGAGAGAUCUGGUCUGUCAGGCCUCUUCAAAACAGCUGGGGGGUGGGGGGGAGAGCACAUUGAAGCAAAGAUCUAGCUACAGAGGCACAAGAAUAGGCUGCUUUUAAACUGCUGUGGUUGCAGUUUAUUCUCCGACUAUAUACAACGUUCCCAAUUGAGUGUUUUGAUUCCAUGUGCCCCUGUACAAUUACUCAAACAAAGCUGGCAAUUGUAGCCCUUAAAAUGCAAGACAUAGUUUUGUUUAGAACUUCAGUAGACCUUUUAUUAGCUGUACACAGCAGGGAGUGCAAACCCCUUUUUCAUAAUAAAGAAACAGUUCUAUGCAAAAAGCCACAAGAUGUAAAACUACCAAAUAAUUCUUCUCUACAAAAU